AUGUUUCUCCCUCCGUCCGAAAAUACUUGUCCUAAAAAUUGAUAUAAUGGAUGUAUCUAUAAUUAAAAUAAGUCUAGACUCAUCCAUUUAUAGGACAAUUAUUUCCGGACGGAGGGAGUAGAUG
Non-coding RNA from Hordeum vulgare subsp. vulgare (domesticated barley), 124 nucleotides. Lineage: Eukaryota; Viridiplantae; Streptophyta; Magnoliopsida; Poales; Poaceae. The record is from Rfam.